This 497-nucleotide ribosomal RNA is filed under the name uncultured bacterium. Its description in RNAcentral is "partial 16S ribosomal RNA". It matches the Rfam family "Bacterial small subunit ribosomal RNA", at positions 28 to 507 of the family's 1533-position model. The record is from RNAcentral.
GAUGAACGCUGGCGGCGUGCCUAAUACAUGCAAGUAGAACGCUGAAGGAAGGAGCUUGCUCUUUCCGGAUGAGUUGCGAACGGGUGAGUAACGCGUAGGUAACCUGCCUGGUAGCGGGGGAUAACUAUUGGAAACGAUAGCUAAUACCGCAUAACAGUAUAUGUUGCAUGAUAUCUACUUAAAAGGUGCAAUUGCACCGCUACCAGAUGGACCUGCGUUGUAUUAGCUAGUUGGUGAGGUAACGGCUCACCAAGGCGACGAUACAUAGCCGACCUGAGAGGGGGGUCGGCCAAACUGGGACUGGAACACGGCCCAGACUCCCACGGGGAGGAGCAGUAGGGGAUCUUCGGCAAUGGACGGAAGGCUGAACGGGCAACGCCGCGUGAGGGAAGGAGGUUUUCGGAUCGUAAAGAUCUGUUGUAAGAGAAGAACGAGUGGGGGAGUGGAAAGUUCACACUGUGACGGUAUCUUACCAGAAAGGCACGGCUAACUACGUG